RNAcentral lists this ribosomal RNA (450 nucleotides) under uncultured bacterium. RNAcentral describes it as "partial 16S ribosomal RNA". It matches the Rfam family "Bacterial small subunit ribosomal RNA", at positions 354 to 796 of the family's 1533-position model. The record is from RNAcentral.
GUGGGGAAUCUUGCGCAAUGGGCGAAAGCCUGACGCAGCCAUGCCGCGUGAAUGAUGAAGGUCUUAGGAUUGUAAAGCACUUUAAGUUGGGAGGAAGGGCAGUAAGUUAAUACCUUGCUGUUUUGACGUUACCGACAGAAUAAGCACCGGCUAACUUCGUGCCAGCAGCCGCGGUAAUACGAAGGGUGCAAGCGUUAAUCGGAAUUACUGUGCGUAAAGCGCGCGUAGGUGGUUUUGUAAGUUUGAGGUGAAAUCCCCGGGCUCAACCUGGGAACUGCCUCCAAAACUGCAUGACUAGAGUACGGUAGAGGGUAGUGGAAUUUCCUGUGUAGCGGUGAAAUGCGUAGAUAUAGGAAGGAACACCAGUGGCGAAGGCGACUACCUGGACUGAUACUGACACUGAGGUGCGAAAGCGUGGGGAGCAAACAGGAUUAGAUACCCCGGUAGUCC